This 482-nucleotide ribosomal RNA is filed under the name uncultured bacterium. RNAcentral's name for it is "partial 16S ribosomal RNA". It matches the Rfam family "Bacterial small subunit ribosomal RNA", at positions 30 to 507 of the family's 1533-position model. The record is from RNAcentral.
AUUGAACGCUGGCGGCAUGCUUUACACAUGCAAGUCGAACGGUAACAGGCCGCAAGGUGCUGACGAGUGGCGAACGGGUGAGUAAUGCAUCGGAACGUGCCCAGUCGCGGGGGAUAACUACUCGAAAGAGUAGCCAAUACCGCAUACGAUCUAUGGAUGAAAGCGGGGGACCGCAAGGCCUCGCGCGAUUGGAGCGGCCGCUUUCAGAUUAGGCAGUUGGUGAGGUAAAGGCUCACCAAGCCAACGAUCUGUAGCUGGUCUGAGAGGACGACCAGCCACACUGGGACUGAGACACGGCCCAGACUCCUACGGGAGGCAGCAGUGGGGAAUUUUGGACAAUGGGCGCAAGCCUGAUCCAGCAAUGCCGCGUGCAGGAAGAAGGCCUUCGGGUUGUAAACUGCUUUUGUACGGGACGAAACGGCUCUGGUUAAUACCCGGGGCUAAUGACGGUACCGAAAGAGUAAGCACCGGCUAACUACGUG